This 255-nucleotide ribosomal RNA is filed under the name uncultured bacterium. RNAcentral's name for it is "partial 16S ribosomal RNA". It matches the Rfam family "Bacterial small subunit ribosomal RNA", at positions 102 to 353 of the family's 1533-position model. The record is from RNAcentral.
ACGGGUGAGUAACGCGUGGGUAACCUGCCCUGUACAGGGGGAGUAACAAUCAGAAAUGACUGCUAAUACCGCAUAAGACCACAGCACCGCAUGGUGCAGGGGUAAAAACUACCGGUGGUACAGGAUGGACCCGCGUCUGAUUAGCUGGUUGGUGAGGUAACGGCUCACCAAGGCGACGAUCAGUAGCCGGCUUGAGAGAGUGAACGGCCACAUUGGGACUGAGACACGGCCCAAACUCCUACGGGAGGCAGCAUG